CCUACGGGAGGCAGCAGUGGGGGAUAUUGCACAAUGGAGGGAACUCUGAUGCAGCGACGCCGCGUGAGGGAAGGAGGUUUUCGGAUUGUAAACCUCUGUCUUCGGUGACGAAACGAGACGGUAGCCGAGGAAGAAGCCACGGCUAACUACGUGCCAGCAGCCGCGGUAAUACGUAGGGGGCAAGCGUUGUCCGGAAUUACUGGGUGUAAAGGGAGCGUAGGAGGGAAAGAAAGUUGAAUGUUUAAGGUCCGGGCUCAACCUGGACAAGGGUUGGAAAAUGUUUUUCUUGAGUGGUGUAGGGGUAAGCGGAAUUCCUGGUGUAGCGGUGAAAUGCGUAAAUAUUAGGAGGAACACCAGUGGCGAAGGCGGCUUACUGGGCUUUAACUGACGCUGAGGCUCGAAAGCGUGGGGAGCAAACAGGAUUAGAUACCCUGGUAGUC
This 440-nucleotide ribosomal RNA is filed under the name uncultured bacterium. RNAcentral describes it as "partial 16S ribosomal RNA". It matches the Rfam family "Bacterial small subunit ribosomal RNA", at positions 338 to 795 of the family's 1533-position model. The record is from RNAcentral.